Molecule: ribosomal RNA, 253 nt
Filed under: uncultured bacterium
Lineage: Bacteria
Description: partial 16S ribosomal RNA
Rfam family: Bacterial small subunit ribosomal RNA
Source: RNAcentral
UACGUAGGGUGCAAGCGUUAAUCGGAAUUACUGGGCGUAAAGCGUGCGCAGGCGGUUAUGUAAGACAGAUGUGAAAUGCCCGGGCUUAACCUGGGAACUGCAUUUGUGACUGCAUGGCUAGAGUUUGGCAGAGGGGGGUAGAAUUCCACGUGUAGCAGUGAAAUGCGUAGAUAUCAGGAGGAAUACCGAUGGCGAAGGCAGGUCUCUGGGCUGACACUGACGCUCAUGCACGAAAGCGUGGGGAGCAAACAGG